This is a small nucleolar RNA of Caenorhabditis elegans, 113 nucleotides long. The record is from Ensembl. NCBI's taxonomy places the organism in Eukaryota, Metazoa, Nematoda, Chromadorea, Rhabditida, Rhabditidae.
AUCACUUUCUGUCUAUAAUCAACCCAUCGAAAAUUGAUUUGUCUUAUUAUCAAAGGUAUAAUGAGUUUGACGAUGCCGAAUUUGAAACCCUCAAAGAAUUCUUGAAAGGUCAU